GACGAACGCUGGCGGCGUGCCUAACACAUGCAAGUUGAGCGACGAACCAGGGCUUGCCCUGGGGCAAAGCAGCGAACGGGUGAGUAACACGUGGGUAACCUACCCCGAUAACCGGGACAACCCGAGGAAACUCGGGCUAAUACCGGAUGUGCUCACUGGACUUCGGUUCAGUGCGUAAAGGAAGCUUCGGCCUCCGUAUCGGGAGGGGCCCGCGGCCCAUUAGUUUGUUGGUGAGGUAACGGCUCACCAAGACCGCGAUGGGUAGCUGGUCUGAGAGGACGAUCAGCCACACUGGGACUGAGACACGGCCCAGACUCCUACGGGAGGCAGCAGUGGGGAAUCUUGCGCAAUGCGCGAAAGCGUGACGCAGCAACGCCGCGUGGGGGAAGAAGGCCUUCGGGUUGUAAACCCCUUUCAGGAGGGACGAAGGUUCGGCGGUGAAUAGCCGUCCGGACUGACGUUACCUCCACAAGAAGCCCCGGCUAACUACGUG
This 493-nucleotide ribosomal RNA is filed under the name uncultured bacterium. RNAcentral describes it as "partial 16S ribosomal RNA". It matches the Rfam family "Bacterial small subunit ribosomal RNA", at positions 28 to 507 of the family's 1533-position model. The record is from RNAcentral.